This is a long non-coding RNA of Homo sapiens (human), 511 nucleotides long. RefSeq lists it as uncharacterized. NCBI's taxonomy places the organism in Eukaryota, Metazoa, Chordata, Mammalia, Primates, Hominidae. The transcript has 4 exons. The record is from RefSeq and is a predicted model, not a curated record.
UGCACUCCAACCUGGGCGACUGAGCUGGACUUAAAAAAAAGGUAAGUAAGCCUUCAAGUCUAUCCAAUCUUAAUUUGUAAUCUCAAAUGGAUGUCCAUAUUAACAAAAUUUUCUUGUUUUUCCUGUUUGUGUCUUUUUAGUUUAAUCUUCUUGUCCUUGACACUGAAAUUUUUUUCUCUCCAACAACUUGCCGUCGUUUCUCGGAAUAGAGCUGCUUUCUCUGCAGGAAGGGUGUAGUUGAUUCAACCGCCACCCACUCACGCCAGCCCCGAAACGGAGGUCUCGCUAUGCCGCCCAGGGUAGAAUGUGCUCUCUCCCUCUCCUCUUCCUAGUAUCUGGGACUACAGAUUCCAUUUCGGAUGCCCCCAUGAGGACUGUGCGCUCCUGUACUGGAACUCAAGCGACCACUUGGCUCAAAAUCCAUUGCUAUUCUCUAGAAAUCCAGCCCAAUUCUCUUGGUUAAAGAUAAGGCUGGAGUGCAUUGGCACGAUCUCGUCUCACUGCAACCUCC